AACGCGAAGAACCUUACCAGCUCUUGACAUGCCCGGUCUGGGUGGGAGAGAUCUCAUCCGUCGGUUCGGCCGGCCGGGACACAGGUGCUGCAUGGCUGUCGUCAGCUCGUGUCGUGAGAUGUUGGGUUAAGUCCCGCAACGAGCGCAACCCUCAUCUGCAGUUGCCAGCGGGUAAUGCCGGGGACUCAUAGGAGACUGCCGGGGUCAACUCGGAGGAAGGUGGGGAUGACGUCAAGUCCUCAUGCCCCUUAUGUCUUGGGCUGCAAACAUGCUACAAUGGCCAGUACAAAGGGUUGCGAGACCGCAAGGUGGAGCGAAUCCCAAAAAGCUGGUCUCAGUUCGGAUUGGGGUCUGCAACUCGACCCCAUGAAGUCGGAGUCGCUAGUAAUCGCAGAUCAGCAACGCUGCGGUGAAUACGUUCCCGGGCCUUGUACACACCGCUACAGU
RNAcentral lists this ribosomal RNA (447 nucleotides) under uncultured bacterium. Its description in RNAcentral is "bacterial SSU rRNA". It matches the Rfam family "Bacterial small subunit ribosomal RNA", at positions 958 to 1401 of the family's 1533-position model. The record is from RNAcentral.